UACGUAGGGUGCAAGCGUUGUCCGGAAUUAUUGGGCGUAAAGAGCUCGUAGGCGGUUUGUUGCGUCGGCUGUGAAAUCCCGAGGCUCAACCUCGGCAGGUCGUUGGAAACCAUAUGGCUAGAGUCCGGAAGAGGAGAGUGGAAUUCCUGGUGUAGCGGUGAAAUGCGCAGAUAUCAGGAAGAACACCGAUGGCGAAGGCAGCUCUCUGGGACGGUACUGACGCUGAGACGCGAAAGCGUGGGGAGCGAACAGG
This 253-nucleotide ribosomal RNA is filed under the name uncultured bacterium. Its description in RNAcentral is "partial 16S ribosomal RNA". It matches the Rfam family "Bacterial small subunit ribosomal RNA", at positions 524 to 776 of the family's 1533-position model. The record is from RNAcentral.